UCUUUCAAGUCCGAUGCUAAAGACUGGGGCUCAACCCGAGGGGUGCGUUGGAUACUGUGAGGCUAGACGGUCGGAGGGGGUAGCGGAAUUUCCGGAGUAGCGGUGAAAUGCGCAGAUACCGGAAGGAACGCCAAUAGCGAAGGCAGCUACCUGGACGACUUGUGACGCUGAGGCGCGAAAGCGUGGGGAGCAAACCGGAUUAGAUACCCGGGUAGUCCACGCCCUAAACCAUGAGUGCUGGGUGUCCGGCUUCUGCUGGGUGCCGUAGCUAACGCGCUAAGCACUCCGCCUGGGAAGUACGCACGCAAGUGUGAAACUCAAAGGAAUUGACGGGGGCCCGCACAAGCGGUGGAGCAUGUGGUUUAAUUCGAAGCGACGCGAAGAACCUUACCAGGCCUUGACAUGCCCGGAACCCCUCUGAAAGGAGGGGGUGCCCGCAAGGGAGCCGGGACACAGGUGCUGCAUGGCCGUCGUCAGCUCGUGUCGUGAGAUGUUGGGUUAAGUCCCGCAACGAGCGCAACCCCUAUCCCUAGUUGCCAGCAGUUCGGCUGGGCACUCUAUGGAGACUGCCUGCGAAAGCAGGAGGAAGGCGGGGAUGACGUCUGGUCCGCAUGGCCCUUACGGCCUGGGCGACACACGUGCUACAAUGCCAAGGACAGAGCGCUGCUACCUCGCGAGAGGACGCCAAUCGCAAAAACCUUGGCUCAGUUCGGAUUGGAGUCUGCAACUCGACUCCAUGAAGCCGGAA
This 748-nucleotide ribosomal RNA is filed under the name uncultured Thermaceae bacterium. Its description in RNAcentral is "bacterial SSU rRNA". It matches the Rfam family "Bacterial small subunit ribosomal RNA", at positions 579 to 1331 of the family's 1533-position model. The record is from RNAcentral. Lineage: Bacteria; Thermotogati; Deinococcota; Deinococci; Thermales; Thermaceae.